AGAACAUAUUCAUGGAAUCAAAUCAGUCAUGAACCCUCGCUCACGAUUAUCAAGUGUCUUCGUCUUUCGACACGACUAUCUCAGUUGGCCAGACUAUCAAGAAGCUACAAAAUUGAAAUAUUUUACCAUCGAACCUUCCUACGAUGACAAACAUGCGAUCGCUAUAUACCCAUUCCAAACGACGCAGGAGAUGUACCACAAUGCGUGCCGCUCGAGACGAGUGCUCAUAUACAAGGAGCAGUUCGAGUUGGUUACCGGGC
This is a non-coding RNA of Spodoptera litura, 260 nucleotides long. The record is from RefSeq and is a predicted model, not a curated record. Lineage: Eukaryota; Metazoa; Arthropoda; Insecta; Lepidoptera; Noctuidae.